This is a non-coding RNA of Zalaria obscura, 111 nucleotides long. Lineage: Eukaryota; Fungi; Ascomycota; Dothideomycetes; Dothideales; Zalariaceae. The record is from the annotation of a GenBank genome assembly.
GUUCGGUUAGCUCAGUUGGUUAGAGCGUGGUGCUAAUACCGAUUCGGUGGUCUAACGUACCGAUGAAGUCGUGUAACGCCAAGGUCGCGAGUUCGACCCUCGUACUGAACA